UGUGCCGCGGCCGUUCGUUACGUAGGAGCGCGGGUGCUGUGGUGGUUUGCUGCACCUAUUAACCCAUCCUGUUUUGCCUGGCAUUCUGCAGAAGCAUUGCUGUAUCUUACCAGACAGGAAUACAGAUGAAGACCCCCAGGCCCAGGGAAUUCGAUCACUGGCUGAGAACUCACAGCUAAGGAGGGGGAGCCUGGGAUUCCUUCCUGGUGCUCACACCCGAGACCCUUUUGUCACUGUGUUCAAAGGCACUGCUGCACAGACGUGAUUCUUCUUUCAACGAACAUCUCCAGGACUUCCUCCGGGGUCUGUGACCUCAUCUAUAAUUAAAGGGAAAGAGAUCUUCCUGAGAUUAGCCCAUUUAACUUGUUUAACUAGAUGCAUGCUGCAAAAACUGUUUUCAAGAAAUGAACAAUUGACUAUUUAAAAAGAGCCAAGCCUUAAAAGAAGACCAGGUUUUAAUAGGGAAAACAUUCAGUAAAAUAUUAUUCUGCAGUAACUUGUGGAAUGACUGCUGUACACACAGCUCUGGGCUGGGUACCUGGAAGCUCACGAGCUUGUUUGGCCUCCCCUCCUGGACACAGGAGGUGUCAAGGCUGUGGUCAGCAGAAUCUACCCAGCUGGACACUGAGUGGACGCCCUGUGGGGUGGCUGUGAAAUGGGUCCACUUUGUAGUGGCAGCAUCCCUGAUAGUACUUCUGAAAGGGACAAGAUAGAAAAGCAAACCAAACUGAAACUGAGAAGUCGUGGAUGAUACCAGGGGCGCACAGUGGCUGACAGGAAGAGACUGCCUGGGGGGUCUCGGAGCCAGUGGCUGGAGUGGAGUUAGUUUGACCGAGUCCUGGACUAGGGAGGGGACCCCCAAAGCAUGCCCAGCAUGGCGCUAGUGGGGCCCAGGCACCCCAUGUCCCAACGACUAGAACCAAUAAUCAGGUUAACACUCAUUAAAUAAGAAGUGUCUGUGCCUCCUGGGAUAAAAAUCCUUUAUAACGAUCUGGGACGCGAGCUCAAGUCCCUGUUCCCUUGUCCUCCACAGCAGUGUGCAGCGUGGAACUCGGCGGUUCGGGGUCCCUGAGUCCCUGAGCCACUGUCUACCCCCUGCUCCAUCCCAAAUGCAGAGACCCCUGAGCACUCAUGUGGACAUGCCCCACCAUGCCCUGGCUGCUCCUUCAGGAUGGCGCAGGGCCACCGCUAUGGGAGGACUCUAAAGGGUGGGUCUCAAGCCCUCCUCUGCUUACCCUAAAUCAGGAGAGCAAACCGAAUGCACUGCCCUCUUCCUUCACUCCUGCAUCCCAUCCCCCGCUAUGGCCUCACUAUCAGGUGGGCAUCUGUGCUCCUAGUUUUCAUGGGUGGCCCGACGGGGGCUGCAGAAAGUUCAUGCAUCGCAUCACCCAUCAGUGUAAGGUGCAGUGAUCCUGCCACAUGUGUCUUUGUCACAGGUCACUAGAUUAAAGGCUAAUAUAUCCAUGGGUGGAUGGAAUAUUUAUUUGGCCAAAUUGUUGUCUAACAAUCCAUUGGUUUUGGUUAUCUAUUGCUGAAUAAUAAGCCAUCUCAACAUUUAGUAAGCAGUGAGCAUUGGUUGAAGCCACUGUUCCUGAUGGCCAAGGUUGCCCAGGCUCAGCUGGGCGGCUCUUCUGCUCUGUGAUGUGAGCUGGGGCUGAGCAUCUGGAGAUUUGACUGGGCAGUCAGGCACUCACUCACACAGGGCAGGUGGGGCUGGCUGUCAGCUUGUAGCUCAUCUAGGGCUGUUGUCUGAGCGCCUGGAUUCUCUCUCAUGAGACCUGUCCAGCACCUUGGUCCCCCCAUAC
RNAcentral lists this long non-coding RNA (1805 nucleotides) under Homo sapiens (human). Its description in RNAcentral is "HSALNT0131925". The record is from RNAcentral. Lineage: Eukaryota; Metazoa; Chordata; Mammalia; Primates; Hominidae.